GAUGAAGAACGUAACGAAAUGCGAUAAGUAAUGUGAAUUGCAGAAUUCAGUGAAUCAUCGAAUCUUUGAACGCACAUUGCGCCCGUCAGUAUUCUGGCGGGCAUGCCUGUUCGAGCGUCAUUACGCCCCUCAAGUCCCCUGUGGACUUGGUGUUGGGGAUCGGCGAGGCUGGUUUUCCAGCACAGCCGUCCCUUAAAUUAAUUGGCGGUCUCGCCGUGGCCCUCCUCUGCGCAGUAGUAAAACACUCGCAACAGGAGCCCGGCGCGGUCCACUGCCGUAAAACCCCCCAACUUUUUAUAGUUGACCUCGAAUCAGGUAGGACUACCCGCUGAACUUAAGCAUAUCAAUAAGCGGAGGA
RNAcentral lists this unclassified non-coding RNA (358 nucleotides) under soil metagenome. RNAcentral's name for it is "partial contains 5.8S ribosomal RNA, internal transcribed spacer 2, and large subunit ribosomal RNA". The stretch from base 1 to 120 matches the Rfam family "5.8S ribosomal RNA", at positions 35 to 154 of the family's 154-position model. The record is from RNAcentral.